GUAUAUCUGAACUCCUACCAACACGCCGCGAUUUGCUCUCUCCAAUCUCGUGCUAGCGGACCACCGCAGUUACUCAUUGCUGUCUACUUUUUUGGCAAAUUAUGAAGGCUCAAUAGUCAACUCCGCUCAUUGCACUGAUCACCUUCUCCACUCCUGUUGCCCGACCCGGCGUCAGCUCCUGAUACUUCUGGUUCCGGGAAUUAUUGUCCACACCCCAGUCGACCCGCUGCAUUGCAAAGAUGAGCUACGUUAAGAAAGAUGAAGAUGCUGAUCAAAUAAUGAUGAAGUUGGAUAGGACUUCUGUUUUCCAAGAUGCACGAUUAUUCAAUUCCUCGCCUAUAUCACCGCGAAAAUGUCGGACACUACUUACCAAAAUCGCCGUCUUGCUCUUCACCGGGGAGAAGUUCCCGACGAACGAGGCUACGACGUUGUUCUUUGGCAUCUCGAAACUUUUCCAGAACAAGGAUCCUUCGCUGCGACAAAUGGUAUAUCUGAUCUUGAAGGAGUUGGCCGGCACGGCAGAUGAUGUUAUCAUGUCUACUUCCAUAAUUAUGAAGGAUACUUCCGUUGGAAGCGACGUCCUCUACCGGGCUAAUGCUAUUCGAGCAUUGUGCCGCAUUAUAGAUGCUACAACGGUUCAAGCGAUUGAGCGUCUGAUAAAAACCGCAAUUGUCGACAAAACUCCUUCAGUCUCGUCAGCCGCUCUUGUUUCCUCCUAUCAUCUCCUCCCCGUCGCUCGCGACGUUGUUCGAAGAUGGCAGAGCGAAGCCCAGGAGGCUGCUUCAUCAAGCAAACAGUCCACCAGUUUCCUUGGUUUCACGAGUGGACAAGCACACCCUAUCUCACAAACGAACUAUAUGACCCAAUAUCACGCAAUUGGUCUUCUUUAUCAGAUGCGUGCUCAUGACAGAAUGGCUUUGGUAAAGAUGGUUCAACAGUAUGGUGCAGCGGGCGCGGUCAAGAGCCCUGGUGCACUUGUGUUGCUUGUCAGGUUGGCUGCUCAAUUGGCAGAUGAGGACCAGAGCCUUCGAAAGCCGAUGAUGCAAAUGCUCGACGGUUGGCUUCGCCAUAAGCAUGAGAUGGUCAAUUUCGAGGCUGCCCGAGCAAUCUGCCAAAUGAGGGAUGUCACAGAUGCGGAAGCGUCCCAAGCGGUUCAUGUCCUCCAACUCUUUCUUUCGUCUCCUCGCCCCAUCACCAAGUUUGCUGCCAUCAGGACUUUGCACAGUUUGGCAUCCUUCAAGCCCAACGUUGUCAACCCAUGCAACCAAGAUAUUGAAGCCUUGAUAUCCAACAGUAAUCGAUCCAUUGCAACGUUUGCAAUUACGACGCUCCUUAAAACUGGCAAUGAAGCUAGCGUUGACCGUCUGAUGACCCAGAUUUCUGGAUUUAUGGCUGAUACUACCGACGAAUUCAAAAUCACAAUCGUUGAGGCUAUCAGAACACUCUGUCUUAAGUUCCCACACAAGCAAGCUGGCAUGCUUGCGUUCCUCAGCGGCAUACUCAGGGAUGAAGGCGGCUAUGAAUUUAAAAGAAGUGUAGUCGAGAGCAUGUUUGACCUUAUCAAAUUUGUCCCUGGAAGCAAAGAAGAUGCUCUCGCACAUCUCUGUGAAUUCAUUGAAGAUUGCGAAUUCACCAAGCUCGCAGUCAGGAUAUUACAUCUCCUAGGUGUUGAGGGACCCAAGACUUCACAACCGACGAAGUAUAUCCGGUAUAUCUAUAAUAGGGUCGUUUUGGAAAAUGCGGUAAUUCGUGCUGCUGCAGUGACGGCAUUGGCCAAAUUUGGUGUUGGCCAAAAGGACCCAGAGCUUAAGAGAAGUGUAAACGUUCUAUUGGCCCGAUGCUUGGAUGACACUGAUGACGAAGUCCGUGAUCGUGCGGCUCUUAACCUACGACUGAUGAAAGAGGAGGAUGAACUGGCGGAACGAUUUAUUAAAACCGAUUCGAUGUUUUCUUUGUCUACAUUUGAACAUCAACUCGUCAUGUAUGUUACUGCAACAGAUAAGGAAACUUUUGCGGCAGCGUUCGACCUCAACACCAUUCCAGUUGUAUCACAAGAGCAAGCCCUUGCUGAAGAGCGAACCAAGAAGCUUACGACUGCGACACCAACUCUCAAGGCCCCAUCUAUGACUCCAUCGAAGGCAAAAUCAACCGCUGGGGUCGAUGGAGUUGCUGCUGCUGCUGCUUCGACCCAAAAAUACGCAGAACAACUUGUCCAAAUACCGGAGCUCAAGGCUUACGGAACACUGCUCAAAUCAUCUACUCCUGUUGAACUAACCGAAAGUGAGACGGAGUAUGUCGUCAGCGCUGUUAAACAUAUCUUUAAGGAACAUAUUGUCUUGCAAUAUGAUAUCAAAAACACGUUCAUCGUGCCAGCGCCGAAACUUAUGACAAAUGAACCCGGAAUAGUUUAUGUUGCUUUUAAGAAACUUGGAGGAGAACAUAAUUUCCCUGUAACGUCAUUUACGAACAACCUGAAGUUCACUAGCAAAGAAAUCGAUCCUACUACUGGCGAUCCGGAAGAGACUGGCUACGAGGAUGAAUAUCAAGUUGAAGAUUUAGAUCUAAUUGGUAGUGACUAUGUCAUUCCUGCCUUUGCUGGAAGCUUCGAUCACGUCUGGGAACAAACUGGUGCGAACGGUGAAGAAGCUAGCGAAACACUCCAACUUUCCAACGUGAAAGGUAUUGAAGAUGCAACCGAGCAACUUGUUGCAACACUAUCACUUCAACCACUCGAGGGCACAGACGUGGUCCUCAACAAUACGACACAUGCACUUAAAUUGUACGGCAAGACUGUUUCUGGCGGUAGAGUGGCAGCCUUGGUGAGAAUGGCAUAUUCGGCCAAAUCCGGUGUGACGACCAAAGUAACUGUUCGUGCCGAAGAAGAAGGCGUUGCUGCGACAGUCGUCGCAUCUGUUGCCUGAUUCAAACCCAAUCAUCUUUGAUACCUUUGAAAAUUGCGCCUAUCGACUUUUGGUAGAUAAUUCAUACCCGUUUGCUACUCCUCCCCCCCCUUCCGCCCCCCUUCCACUUCUUCUUCUCUACCUGUCAGCUCUCUGACGCAUACAUUUCUCUCGAUGGGAGGUUCCCAGCGCUUUUAAAUGUGAUGCGUGGUGUUCGUGGAAGAAACCCUACAUAUAUCGUUGCCUUCCAUGCUCGUAACAUGUCUUCUGUAGAUUGAGAGCAAUCUCUUUCUUCUCCCACCAUAUCUUUCUCGUCAACUACAUGUUUCCUGUUUGCGUGUUCCCGUUUUUUCCUUGCCUUUAUAUUUGAUAUUCUCUUUUUUAAACAGUAAUCACGGGCUUUCUCAAGGCUAGAACAACCACAUCACACUAGUUUCAAAAAUUUAAGGUGAAGCUUUUAUUUUCUGUCUAUCCAUUCCAUGCAUACCUACUUCUAUAAAAUAUGAUAUCUAGAAGCUCGCCGAAAAUCAUUGGGUUCUUCAUCGCGGUAAUAGCUCACGAAAUGCUAUGAAAUAUGAUAUAAGCCAAGUUAAAUAUUCCAAAAUCGCUGAGUCCAUAAGUUUACACCGAAAGCCCAGUCCCGUAUAAAACUAUUAACCAAAAUGAUAAACUCCAACAGGGAUAUCUCCACUCUCAAUCUCAUCCCGAGAGUGACCUGCUCUCUGAGCGUUACGCCUCAACAACUCAUCGAGUUCGUCAUCAGACACGAUCCUCAGCCUAGAUGGAUGAGAUUCAUGUAACCCAAGCAAUCGAAGGUUCCUUAACCCCCCAUCCAGCGCAUGAAGAAAAUCUUCCUUCGAAAAGUCUGGAAAUCCCUGGGAUUGCUCAAAGGCGAGGAUCUCUAAUGGUAGCGGCCAAGGCAACGAAGCGAGGGUAUGGAAGAACGGCGGUUUGGCCAAAUCCCCCUGGAUCGAAAGGUAAUGCAAGUUGGGAAUAGAAUGAAGUAGAAGCUCAGCAUGCUGAGGCGUGUAAUGCAUUUCAUAUGGGAUUCUCAAGCUUUUCAAGUGGGUGCGCAGAUAGGAAUUGUUCAGGACGGCUGGUAUCAAUGCUGGAUCUUUGAGGGCUUUCCCUGCUAGCGUUAGGCUGGAGAGCUUCGGCGGCCAGUCGAAUGUGAGAAUUGUGGUACGAUCAAGCGUUCCGCUGAUUUCAAGCGUUCUGAGAUUUGGUGGCCAGGACAGGUGACUUGCUACCGUAGUGAUGUUUGUGCUCCUGGGUAAGCGCAGACGACGGAGAUUAUCCAGGUGUUGGAGAGCCUUCUUGAUGGCUUCGAAUUCGAUUUUUCUGAUUACGUGUAAUAAAUCUAUGGAGCGAAGCUUUUUGCAUUUGGAAAGAGUGACGAGGUUAAUUGCCGAAAAACCGCUUGCCGGCGCAAUAAAAACCUCAACAUUGUCUUUAACUCGUCCC
This 4364-nucleotide small RNA is filed under the name Histoplasma capsulatum G186AR. Its description in RNAcentral is "hypothetical RNA". The record is from RNAcentral. Lineage: Eukaryota; Fungi; Ascomycota; Eurotiomycetes; Onygenales; Ajellomycetaceae.